UUCUCGGGUGGCGCUGCUGGAACUUUCUGGAAAUAUCAGCGGCGGUGGUCCGAAGAGGCAGGCUACGGGUAAAAGAAGGAACGCGCGGGCUAGGUUUCCUCGCUUGGGCCGAAUGCGAACGGAGGCAUCUUCGCCCCGGAGCCACUCCUACAGGUCACUCCCUUCCCCAGGGAAGGGCUUUCCGGCGGCGGUGGCGCAGUCAGAGGUGGGGCUGAAGUUGAUUCAUAUUACCAGUCAAAAAUUAUCCAUACUUCUCAGGAGGAAGAAAAGGCCACUCUACAUGAACUGCUACUUCAGACCACCUUGCAGAGCCAGAAG
Lacerta agilis (Sand lizard) is the source of this 318-nucleotide long non-coding RNA. RefSeq lists it as uncharacterized. The record is from RefSeq and is a predicted model, not a curated record. NCBI's taxonomy places the organism in Eukaryota, Metazoa, Chordata, Lepidosauria, Squamata, Lacertidae. The transcript has 2 exons.